GAUGAACGCUGGCGGCGUGCCUAAUACAUGCAAGUCGAGCGAACAGACGAGGAGCUUGCUCCUCUGACGUUAGCGGCGGACGGGUGAGUAACACGUGGAUAACCUACCUAUAAGACUGGGAUAACUUCGGGAAACCGGAGCUAAUACCGGAUAAUAUAUUGAACCGCAUGGUUCAAUAGUGAAAGACGGUUUUGCUGUCACUUAUAGAUGGAUCCGCGCCGCAUUAGCUAGUUGGUAAGGUAACGGCUUACCAAGGCAACGAUGCGCAGCCGACCUGAGAGAGUGAUCGCCCACACUGGCACUGCGACACUGUCCAGACUCCUACGGGAGGCAGCAGUAGGGAAUCGUCCGCAAUGGGCGAGAGCCUGACGGAACAACGCCGCGUGAGUGAUGAAGGUCUUCGGAUCGUAAAACUCUGUUAUUGGCGAAGAACAAAUGUGUAAGUAACUAUGCACGUCUUGACGGUACCUAAUCAGAAAGCCACGGCUAACUACGUG
RNAcentral lists this ribosomal RNA (497 nucleotides) under uncultured bacterium. Its description in RNAcentral is "partial 16S ribosomal RNA". It matches the Rfam family "Bacterial small subunit ribosomal RNA", at positions 28 to 507 of the family's 1533-position model. The record is from RNAcentral.